This 378-nucleotide unclassified non-coding RNA is filed under the name Hevea brasiliensis (rubber tree). Lineage: Eukaryota; Viridiplantae; Streptophyta; Magnoliopsida; Malpighiales; Euphorbiaceae. The record is from RNAcentral.
CAAGGGGCGAAACGCGCACGAUGGUUGUUCGCGGCUUUCCCGCUCGGGCUGCUUGCGGGCGGGGCUUUAUCCCUCGUCCUGCCGAAUCCGCCUUUCAUCCCCGCCGUCAGUCUGGCGCUGAUUGCGAUCACCGGACUGGCCGGUGGCGGCGCCCUCCCUGUUCCCCUCCCGCGUUNNNNNNNNGCUUGCGGCAGUCAUGGGGCUGGUACACGGCUAUCAAAACGGGCGUGAGAUGACGGCAGCGACGGACCAUGUGCUGUUCAUUUCGGGCGUCACUGCUAUCGGAUACGCGAUCGUGACGAUGGCGACCGCGCUUGCCAUCGCGUUCCUGCAAGGCACCGCCGGAUGGCGUCCAAUCGCAUUGCGCGCGAGCGGGAG